UCUGAGGAAAGAGUUCCAGCAGUUAAAUCUCCUAAAGUUGGUGGGCCAGGCCAUGGACGUACUACACCCUUUACUGCCGAAGUCCUGACUGAUGAGGAAGUGGAAUCCGCUAUCGCUGUGUUGAGACAUUCUGCUGAUGAGGAAACCAUCCGUGAAAAAAUGAAAACCACCUUCAGUUACCGCCAAGCAAUGGUCAAUGACCAUGACAAAUCUGCAGAGGUCUUCUCAGUUUUUCCACGGUUCCUGGACACACCAGGACUGGUAGAGCAGGAUUUCAGACUGAUGUUUGGCGAGCAGACUGCCAAUAAAUUCCUGGAGAGAUGGCCUACCACUUUCAGGGCAAGAGUCAUU
Long non-coding RNA from Engraulis encrasicolus (European anchovy), 351 nucleotides. RefSeq lists it as uncharacterized. Lineage: Eukaryota; Metazoa; Chordata; Actinopteri; Clupeiformes; Engraulidae. The record is from RefSeq and is a predicted model, not a curated record. The transcript is spliced from 3 exons.